This 71-nucleotide transfer RNA is filed under the name Patescibacteria group bacterium. RNAcentral's name for it is "tRNA-Gly". It matches the Rfam family "tRNA". From Rfam's summary of the family: Transfer RNA (tRNA) molecules are approximately 80 nucleotides in length. Their secondary structure includes four short double-helical elements and three loops (D, anti-codon, and T loops). Further hydrogen bonds mediate the characteristic L-shaped molecular structure. tRNAs have two regions of fundamental functional importance: the anti-codon, which is responsible for specific mRNA codon recognition, and the 3' end, to which the tRNAs corresponding amino acid is attached (by aminoacyl-tRNA synthetases). tRNAs cope with the degeneracy of the genetic code in two manners: having more than one tRNA (with a specific anti-codon) for a particular amino acid; and 'wobble' base-pairing, i.e. permitting non-standard base-pairing at the 3rd anti-codon position. The record is from RNAcentral.
GCGGAUGUAGUUUAGUGGUAGAACGCGUGCUUGCCAAGCACGGGGCUGGGGUUCGAUUCCCCAUAUCCGCA